AUUGAACGCUGGCGGCAGGCCUAACACAUGCAAGUCGAACGGCAGCGGGGGAUAGCUUGCUAUCCUGCCGGCGAGUGGCGGACGGGUGAGUAAUGCAUGGGGAGCUGCCCAGUCGAGGGGGAUAACAACUGGAAACGGUUGCUAAUACCGCAUACGCCCUAAGGGGGAAAGGUGGGGAACUUCGGUCCUACCGCGAUUGGAUGCGCCCAUGUGGGAUUAGCUAGUUGGUGAGGUAACGGCUCACCAAGGCGCCGAUCUCUAGCUGGUCUGAGAGGAUGACCAGCCACACUGGAAAUGAGACACGGUCCAGACUCCUACGGGAGGCAGCAGUGGGGAAUAUUGCACAAUGGGGGAAACCCUGAGGCAGCCAUGCCGCGUGUGUGAAGAAGGCCUUCGGGUUGUAAAGCACUUUCAGUCAGGAGGAAGGGGUGAUGGCUAAUAUCCAUCAUCAUUGACGUUACUGACAGAAGAAGCACCGGCUAACUCCGUGCCAGCAGCCGCCGCAG
This 506-nucleotide ribosomal RNA is filed under the name uncultured bacterium. RNAcentral's name for it is "partial 16S ribosomal RNA". It matches the Rfam family "Bacterial small subunit ribosomal RNA", at positions 29 to 523 of the family's 1533-position model. The record is from RNAcentral.